GGGCCCGCACAAGCAGCGGAGCAUGUGGUUUAAUUCGAAGCAACGCGAAGAACCUUACCUAGACUUGACAUCCCCUGCAUAACCCAGAGAUGGGCGAAGUCCUUCGGGACAGGGUGACAGGUGGUGCA
Molecule: ribosomal RNA, 128 nt
Filed under: uncultured bacterium
Lineage: Bacteria
Description: partial 16S ribosomal RNA
Rfam family: Bacterial small subunit ribosomal RNA
Source: RNAcentral